This 487-nucleotide ribosomal RNA is filed under the name uncultured bacterium. Its description in RNAcentral is "bacterial SSU rRNA". It matches the Rfam family "Bacterial small subunit ribosomal RNA", at positions 21 to 507 of the family's 1533-position model. The record is from RNAcentral.
GGCUCAGGAUGAACGCUGGCGGCGUGCCUAACACAUGCAAGUCGAGCGGGAUCUUGCUAAAUGACGCUUCGGUUGAUUUUAGUAAGUGAGAGCGGCGGACGGGUGAGUAACACGUGAGCAACCUGCCCUUCAGAGUGGAAUAACGUUUGGAAACGAACGCUAAUACCGCAUAACACCAUUGGAUGGCAUCAUCUGAUGGUCAAAGAUUUAUCGCUGAGGGAUGGGCUCGCGUCCGAUUAGGUAGUUGGUGAGAUAACAGCCCACCAAGCCGACGAUCGGUAGCCGGACUGAGAGGUUGAACGGCCACAUUGGGACUGAGACACGGCCCAGACUCCUACGGGAGGCAGCAGUGGGGGAUAUUGCACAAUGGGGGAAACCCUGAUGCAGCGAUGCCGCGUGAAGGAAGAAGGUCUUCGGAUCGUAAACUUCUGUCCUAAGUGAAGAGAAGAAGACGGUAGCUUAGGAGGAAGCCCCGGCUAACUACGUG